This 429-nucleotide ribosomal RNA is filed under the name Acidobacteriota bacterium. Its description in RNAcentral is "Acidobacteria bacterium partial 16S ribosomal RNA". It matches the Rfam family "Bacterial small subunit ribosomal RNA", at positions 355 to 776 of the family's 1533-position model. The record is from RNAcentral. Lineage: Bacteria; Pseudomonadati; Acidobacteriota.
UGGGGAAUUUUGGACAAUGGGGGAAACCCUGAUCAAGCCAUCCCGCGUGUGCGAUGAAGGCCCUCGGGUUGUAAAGCACUUUUGGCAGGAAAGAAACGUCAUGGGUUAAUACCCCGUGAAACUGACGGUACCUGCAGAAUAAGCACCGGCUAACUACGUGCCAGCAGCCGCGGUAAUACGUAGGGUGCAAGCGUUAAUCGGAAUUACUGGGCGUAAAGCGUGCGCAGGCGGUUCGGAAAGAAAGAUGUGAAAUCCCAGAGCUCAACUUUGGAACUGCAUUUUUAACUACCGGGCUAGAGUGUGUCAGAGGGAGGUUGAAUUCCGCGUGUAGCAGUGAAAUGCGUAGAUAUGCAGAGGAACACCGAUGGCGAAGGCAGCCUCCUGGGAUAACACUGACGCUCAUGCACGAAAGCGUGGGGAGCAAACAGG